This 23-nucleotide microRNA is filed under the name Callorhinchus milii (elephant shark). RNAcentral's name for it is "eshark_NOVEL_339". The record is from RNAcentral. Lineage: Eukaryota; Metazoa; Chordata; Chondrichthyes; Chimaeriformes; Callorhinchidae.
CGUAGUGGACGUGUGUUCGAAUU